This is a long non-coding RNA of Monopterus albus (swamp eel), 715 nucleotides long. RefSeq lists it as uncharacterized. The record is from RefSeq and is a predicted model, not a curated record. The transcript is spliced from 2 exons. Lineage: Eukaryota; Metazoa; Chordata; Actinopteri; Synbranchiformes; Synbranchidae.
UGAGGUGUACUUGUAAAUAUAAAAAAUACUUCUCUCUCACUCUUCUCUUGUAGGUGAUUACUUUGGACUAUGGCAGGGGAAAUGAGAACCCUAUCAAUAGUAUGCAUUUCUACACCAAGCAUAACCCUAAUGAUGCAUUCAGGCUCACCGGAGACCAGAUGUCCAUGAGUCUCCCGCAAUGCUUUUCUGAGCUGAUCAUCAGGGCUUACUGCAAGGAAACUGAUGACGACAGCCUGAAUGAUGCAGCACAUCAGUUUGAGGAGUUCAAAGACUGGCUUACAGCUGUAUAGUAAUAUCUAGAUAUAUUGUAAGCUGUUAAAUGUUUUACAGCUUUUUAUGUUCUCCCUGAGUUCACCAUAGGACACCUACAUUAGCAUUUGACAGAUGUACCACCCCAGUCAAAGUCCCCACCUGCCACUGUCCCCAGUGUCAGCUCUACGCUUCCUGUCUGUGUUCUGUUAGUCAUGAUGUACAGGAUGAACUCAGCAUGUACUCACAAUACAUUCUGGUGGAAAAAUACUAAACAUGACACAUGAACAUAAUGAUAAUGACAGCAAUUAACAAUAAUGAUGAUAAGCAUGGAAAUGACAAUAAUCCAAUUUGACUCUAUUCAGCAGAAAACCAGAACAUCAUGGUUUAUUGUUGUCCUAUUACAGAGGGUAUACAAAAUGAUCAGUUCCCCAUUUUACUCUUCUUUACUGGAUAAGUAAAAAAA